This 2688-nucleotide long non-coding RNA is filed under the name Sus scrofa (pig). RNAcentral describes it as "lncRNA (ENSSSCG00035003001.1)". Lineage: Eukaryota; Metazoa; Chordata; Mammalia; Artiodactyla; Suidae. The record is from RNAcentral.
CUAGGGCUGCUCCCUCGGCAUAUGGAGGUUCCCAGGCUAGGGGCCUAAUUGGAGCUGUAGCCGACGGCCUACACCACAGCCACAGCAACGCGGGAUCCGAGCCACGUCUGCGACCUAUACCACAGUUCACGGCAACGCCGGAUCCUUUAACCCACUGAACAAGGCCAGGGACCAAACCUGCAACCUCAUGGUUCCUAGUCGGAUUCGUUAACCACUGAGCCACAACAGGAACUCCUAAUAACAUAUAUUUCUUAGAAUCACAACCUAAAAGGUUUGAAACCUACCAGCCUACACUAAUAGAUUUAAAACAAAAAACUCCCGGAGUCCCCAUUGUGGCUCAGCGGUCAAUGAACCCAACUAGUACCCAUAAGGAAACAGGUUCGAUCCCUGGCCUCACUCAGAGGGUUAAGGAUCCAGCAUUGCAGUGAGCUGUGGCGUAGGUUGCAGACGCGGCUGGAAUCCCAUGUUGGUGUGGCUGUGGUGUAGGCCGGCAGCUGUAGCUGCAAUUCAAACCCUAGCCUGGGAAUCUCCAUAUGCUGCAGGUGCAACCCUGAAAAAAAAAGUUCUCCUGUGGCACAGCAGGUUAAGGAUCCUGCCUUGUCAAUACAGAGGUGUGGUUCGCUCCCUGGCCCAGAAACUUCCAAAGGCCACAAGACAGGCUGAAGGGGGGAAAAAAAAAUCCCUAAAAGGAAUCCUUGAAGGAAUAUAAUCUCAAUAACAACCAACUAUGCAAUAAACAUUUUCAAUAAACUUUUAAGGAAAACAACAAAAGAGAAACACUCAAAAAUACAUUUUUCCUCUAUGUUAAAUAUGGUUUUAUGAAACACAGAAGGCAUGGUAUCUACCCUAGACUUAAAAACCUAGCAUGAUCUAGCAUGUAAAAAAAGCACAUUCUGGGAGUUCCCGUUGUGGCGCAGUGGUUAACGAAUCCGACUAGGAACCAUGAGGUUGCGGGUUCGGUCCCUGCCCUUGCUCAGUGGGUUAACGAUCCGGCGUUGCUGUGAGCUGUGGUGUAGGUUGCAGACGUGGCUCGGAUCCUGCGUUGCUGUGGCUCUGGCGUAGGCCAGUGGCUACAGCUCCGAUUUGCCCCUAGUCUAGGAUCCUCCACAUGCCGUGGGUAAGGCCCUAAAAAGACAAAAAAAAAAAAAAAGUUAUGUAGUGAAAAAGCUACUUUGGGAUCUACCCAUAUGUAUUACUUCCUCUUACUGUUACUUUCAUCAACAAUGUUAAAGGAAACUCCAUCUUCAACCUGAGCACACACAAAUUUUUGUCAGAAUAAAAAAGUUACAUACAAUACUCUUAAAUUGUUUUCUACCCACUGUCCAAGCCUCACUGAACUGUGCUCUUCAGAACAUAAGCAAGUGCCUAUUUUUCUGGUUGCACAAAACUUUCGGCAACACAAGACUCUAUAGAAUACUUAUGUAUAACGUGAUGAAUCUACUCAGAUCAUUCGCUCACACUGUGAUUUUCUUUGAGGUAAAAUGUGUGAAACUAUUUUUGGAACCCUAAUUUGCCAAAUUUAUUUUCAAACUGCAAACUGCAGAAUAAAUCAGUAUGGAAACACUAAACAGAUGACUUUUUUUUUUAUUACUUACCUCAUAGGCUACUAUCCCUCAGCAAGAACUGAGUUUUCUCCCCAACCUUUACAUAUUUGUCAGUUUCUACUUCAAUCAGUUGUAGAAAGCAGAUAAAAUUUGUAUAGCAUUACUUAUAAUGCUAGUACUUGAUAAGGGUGACUAAAAAUCAAAAUAAUUGGCAUACUUAGCAAAAACCAAGUACACACAAUUAGGCCUUGAAAGAACUAGAAGCAAAGCAGUCCAGUUCUAAAUUCAAGAGCAAGAGCUCUAGAAGACCUAGAUGCUCCUGACAGCUUUCUUCUCUAAUAAAGGUUCAGUUUCAAGAAUAAUCCUGGCUUUAUUUCUACACAACUAUAUAUAGAGUAUGGUACUGGGAAACUUAUUCAUAAGAAUAAGCAUAAUUACUUUGACUCAAGGCCAAAUACUCAAGACACAGAGGCAUGUUUCUGCCCAAUGGCUUCAUCUAAAACUUUAGCAUUAGUUUGCCCAAUUUUUCCUUUAGUUUCUCUUAAAUCAGUUCACUCUCCAUGUAAGUACUCAUCAGACCAUAAACUUAAAAGUUCAGAGUCAGAGUCUAAAAGAAUUAGAUCUCGAACUAUGUCCCUCCAAUCAAAAUCAUUUCAGUUUCCUAAUGAAACAGAUCUCAACUGCAGAGUCAAUCCAAGGAACCUGGCCUGCCAGUCUGAUGGCCAACUUUGUUUUAGUCAUACCGCACCAGAAAUACUUAUACCGGGGUCGACAUUUGGUUUUGCAAGGCAGGCAUUUAACACUCAACAAGUCAUUUAUCUAGCUGAUCAAAAAAGAAAGUUCAAGGCAGGUAUGUACUAAAUCUAUUGGCUCUUAGACCACUAAAGUUACACGGCUGCUUAUUUUGUUUUCAGACAAGAAGAAAUUAGUCAUCACUAGCCACAGGUACAAGCAGAUUACCAAAUCACACUCAGAUUUUUAGCAGUGACACUUCUGCAUGUUAAACUGUCUUAAGAUAGUAAGUUUCCCUUAAGUAUUUUGUCAACUAUGUGCCAGGGCACUGUGCUAUGUAAACCAAAAUGGGUUCCACAUCAAAUCAAGGCCCUUAUAACCAAGACACCAUGCUUUAAAAGCAGAGGAGCUG